AUGAAGAGGGAGUACGAGGAGUUCAAGGUGAGGAUGAACUACCUCGCUGCCAAGACGAGCAAGGUGCCGGAGGAAGGAUGGCUCAUGUCCGACGGCACGCCGUGGCCCGGGAACAACUCGAGAGACCACCCCGCCAUGAUACAGGUCCUCCUGGGGCACUCCGCCGAUGAUCGCGACGCCGAGGGGCUGGAGCUCCCUCGGCUCUUCUACGUGUCGCGGGAGAAGAAACCGAGUUUCCAACACCACAAGAAAGCCGGCGCCAUGAACGCAUUGAUCGACAUGAAAUGCUUGGACGGCGUUCAGGGCCCGGUUUACGUCGGCUCCGGGUGCUGCUUCAACCGGAAGGCGCUGUACGGGUUCGAGCCGGCGGUGGCUGACGACCCUGACGACCUGGAGACCGGCCGUCGGAGGUGGUGCUGUUUCGGGGGCAGGGAGAGGCGAAAGCUGAGGCUGAGGAGGAACAGGUCCGUCGUGCCCUUGCUGGACUCUGCAGACGAUGAUGAGGAAACAGUGGGAGCGAGGAGACGGAGGCUGCUCUCGUACCACGCUGCCCUGGAGCGGCACUUCGGCCAUUCCACAUUGUUCAUUGCCUCGGCGUUCAAAGAGAAAGGGCCGGCGGCCAUGGCAGCGGCAGCCACUCCUCUCCUCAAGGAGGCCAUCCACGUCGUCAGCUGCGCGUACGAGGAGCGGACGAGAUGGGGCAAAGAGGUUGGAUGGAUUUACGGCGCCGGCGCCGGCCUGGCGACGGGAUUCAGGAUGCACGCGCGCGGGUGGGCAUCGGCGUACUGCGUGCCGACGCGACCCGCGUUCAGGAGCUACGCGGGGGCCAGCCCCUCGGACAUGCUCGCCAGCGCGUCGCGGCGGGCGUCGGCGGCCAUGGGGAUCCUGCUGAGCCGGCACUGCCCUGUCUGGGCCGGCGGCGGCAGCAUGAGCCCCCUGCAGAGGCUGGCCUACGUGAACUGCGUCGCCUACCCGCUCACCUCCAUCCCGCUCACCGUCUACUGCGCGCUCUCGGCCGUCUGCCUCCUCACCGGCAAGUUCAUAUUCCCGGACGACGUGGACGACUACGACGGCUUCCUGCUCGUCCUGCUGCUGUCCUCGGUGAUCGCCAGCGGUGGCGGUGUCCGAGCGUCUGGCUGA
Molecule: ribosomal RNA, 1140 nt
Filed under: Triticum aestivum (bread wheat)
Lineage: Eukaryota; Viridiplantae; Streptophyta; Magnoliopsida; Poales; Poaceae
Description: partial small subunit ribosomal RNA
Source: RNAcentral